This 524-nucleotide ribosomal RNA is filed under the name uncultured bacterium. RNAcentral's name for it is "partial 16S ribosomal RNA". It matches the Rfam family "Bacterial small subunit ribosomal RNA", at positions 28 to 523 of the family's 1533-position model. The record is from RNAcentral.
GACGAACGCUGGCGGCGUGCCUAAUACAUGCAAGUCGAGCGCAGGAAGCUGACGGAACUCUUCGGAGGGAAGGCAGCGGAAUGAGCGGCGGACGGGUGAGUAACACGUAAGGAACCUGCCUCAAGGAUUGGGAUAACUCCGAGAAAUCGGAGCUAAUACCGGAUAGUUCAACGGACCGCAUGGUCCGCUGAUGAAAGGCGCUCCGGCGUCACCUUGAGAUGGCCUUGCGGUGCAUUAGCUAGUUGGUGGGGUAACGGCCCACCAAGGCGACGAUGCAUAGCCGACCUGAGAGGGUGAUCGGCCACACUGGGACUGAGACACGGCCCAGACUCCUACGGGAGGCAGCAGUAGGGAAUCUUCCACAAUGGACGAAAGUCUGAUGGAGCAACGCCGCGUGAGUGAUGAAGGUUUUCGGAUCGUAAAACUCUGUUGUAAGGGAAGAACACGUACGAGAGGAAAUGCUCGUACCUUGGCGGUACCUUACGAGAAAGCCACGGCUAACUACGUGCCAGCAGCCGCUGUAA